Molecule: ribosomal RNA, 253 nt
Filed under: uncultured bacterium
Lineage: Bacteria
Description: partial 16S ribosomal RNA
Rfam family: Bacterial small subunit ribosomal RNA
Source: RNAcentral
UACGGAGGGUGCAAGCGUUGUUCGGAAUUAUUGGGCGUAAAGGGCGUGUAGGCGGUUCGUUAAGUCUGAUGUGAAAGCCCCGGGCUCAACCUGGGAAGUGCAUUGGAAACUGGCGAACUUGAGUACGGGAGAGGGCAGUGGAAUUCCUGGUGUAGCGGUGAAAUGCGCAGAUAUCAGGAAGAACACCUAUGGCGAAGGCAGCUCUCUGGGACGGUACUGACGCUGAGACGCGAAAGCGUGGGGAGCGAACAGG